Molecule: ribosomal RNA, 752 nt
Filed under: uncultured bacterium
Lineage: Bacteria
Description: bacterial SSU rRNA
Rfam family: Bacterial small subunit ribosomal RNA
Source: RNAcentral
ACGCUGGCGGCAGGCCUAACACAUGCAAGUCGAGCGGUAGAGAGAAGCUUGCUUCUCUUGAGAGCGGCGGACGGGUGAGUAAUGCCUAGGAAUCUGCCUGGUAGUGGGGGAUAACGUUCGGAAACGGACGCUAAUACCGCAUACGUCCUACGGGAGAAAGCAGGGGACCUUCGGGCCUUGCGCUAUCAGAUGAGCCUAGGUCGGAUUAGCUAGUUGGUGAGGUAAUGGCUCACCAAGGCGACGAUCCGUAACUGGUCUGAGAGGAUGAUCAGUCACACUGGAACUGAGACACGGUCCAGACUCCUACGGGAGGCAGCAGUGGGGAAUAUUGGACAAUGGGCGAAAGCCUGAUCCAGCCAUGCCGCGUGUGUGAAGAAGGUCUUCGGAUUGUAAAGCACUUUAAGUUGGGAGGAAGGGCAGUUACCUAAUACGUGAUUGUUUUGACGUUACCGACAGAAUAAGCACCGGCUAACUCUGUGCCAGCAGCCGCGGUAAUACAGAGGGUGCAAGCGUUAAUCGGAAUUACUGGGCGUAAAGCGCGCGUAGGUGGUUUGUUAAGUUGGAUGUGAAAUCCCCGGGCUCAACCUGGGAACUGCAUUCAAAACUGACUGACUAGAGUAUGGUAGAGGGUGGUGGAAUUUCCUGUGUAGCGGUGAAAUGCGUAGAUAUAGGAAGGAACACCAGUGGCGAAGGCGACCACCUGGACUGAUACUGACACUGAGGUGCGAAAGCGUGGGGAGCAAACAGGAUUA